Molecule: unclassified non-coding RNA, 329 nt
Filed under: soil metagenome
Description: partial contains 5.8S ribosomal RNA, internal transcribed spacer 2, and large subunit ribosomal RNA
Rfam family: 5.8S ribosomal RNA (bases 1-120)
Source: RNAcentral
GAUGAAGAACGUAGUGAAAUGCGAUAAGUAAUGUGAAUUGCAGAAUUCAGUGAAUCAUCGAAUCUUUGAACGCACAUUGCGCCCUCUGGUAUUCCGGGGGGCAUGCCUGUUCGAGCGUCAUUAUAACCACUCAAGCUCUCGCUUGGUAUUGGGGUUUGCGGUUCCGCGGCCCCUAAAAUCAGUGGCGGUGCCUGUCGGCUCUACGCGUAGUAAUACUCCUCGCGAUUGAGUCCGGUAGGUCUACUUGCCAGCAACCCCCAAUUUUUACAGGUUGACCUCGGAUCAGGUAGGGAUACCCGCUGAACUUAAGCAUAUCAAUAAGCGGAGGA